CCUACGGGAGGCAGCAGUGGGGAAUAUUGCACAAUGGGGGAAACCCUGAUGCAGCGACGCCGCGUGAGUGAAGAAGUAUUUCGGUAUGUAAAGCUCUAUCAGCAGGGAAGAAAAUGACGGUACCUGAGUAAGAAGCCACGGCUAACUACGUGCCAGCAGCCGCGGUAAUACGUAGGGGGCCAGCGUUAUCCGGAUUUACUGGGUUUAAAGGGAGCGUAGACGGCCAGACAAGUCAGAAGUGAAAGCCCAGGGCUCAACCCUGGGACUGCUGUUGAAACUGUCGGGCUGGAGUGCAGGAGAGGUAAGCGGAAUUCCUAGUGUAGCGGUGAAAUGCGUAGAUAUUAGGAGGAACACCAGUGGCGAAGGCGGCUUACGGGACCGUAACUGACGUUGAGGCUCGAAAGCGUGGGGAGCGAACAGGAUUAGAUACCCUAGUAGUC
RNAcentral lists this ribosomal RNA (440 nucleotides) under uncultured bacterium. RNAcentral's name for it is "partial 16S ribosomal RNA". It matches the Rfam family "Bacterial small subunit ribosomal RNA", at positions 338 to 795 of the family's 1533-position model. The record is from RNAcentral.